AGUUGCUGUUGCUGUUGUAGCUGCUGCUGCUGCUGCUGCUGAAGUUGCUGUUGCUGUUGCAGCUGCUGCUGCUGCUGAAGCUGCUGUAAAGAGCCCAUGGGCUGAGCGCUCAGUUUGGGCUGCCCACUGUGUGACAUCAGACUCUGCUGAAGAUGGGACAGCCCUGCCAUGGACCCUUGCUGUUGGUGCUGUUGUUGCUGCUGCUGCUGCUGGGCUGUGACCAGCCUGUGUCCCAUAAGGCCCUGACCCUGCUGUGCCAGCUGGGGGGAACUGAGCACCCGGGACUGGGUCAUAAGCACCUGUCUGUGAGGGCCCUGGGGGCCCAAAGCUCCAGGGUGCUGCUGCUGCAACACAGCCACCUGGGCAGGGCCCAGCAUGCCCUGGGGCCCCUGGGGUGGUUGAGGGGACAGCUGCUGGACCAGGAGGCCUUGGUGGCUGCUGGGAGGCAUAAGGCCCUGGGGCUUGGGACCCAGAGCUUGGUUUGUCUGUACUCCAGGACCCUGCUGCUGUUGCUGCUGGAUUGCCACCUGUCCUAGAAGGUGCUGCUGCUGCUGUUGCUGCUGCUGCUGCUGCUGCAGUUUCUGGGCCAGCUGCAUACGUUGCUGCUGCAGCUGCAGCUGCCUUUCCUGUAAAAGCCUUGAAUCAGGUCCGAGGCUUCGAAGAGCAAGGUUGCCAGGGAAGAAGCCCCCUGAAGGGCCAGCCAGGGAUCCAG
This 712-nucleotide long non-coding RNA is filed under the name Homo sapiens (human). RNAcentral's name for it is "long non-coding RNA NONHSAT028062.2". Lineage: Eukaryota; Metazoa; Chordata; Mammalia; Primates; Hominidae. The record is from RNAcentral.